This 72-nucleotide transfer RNA is filed under the name Camelus bactrianus (Bactrian camel). It matches the Rfam family "tRNA". From Rfam's summary of the family: Transfer RNA (tRNA) molecules are approximately 80 nucleotides in length. Lineage: Eukaryota; Metazoa; Chordata; Mammalia; Artiodactyla; Camelidae. The record is from Rfam by way of RNAcentral. RNAcentral also lists the same sequence under 2 other names.
GCAGGUAUAACUCAGUGGUAGAGUGUGUGCUUAGCAUGCAUGAGGUCCUGGGUUCAAUUCCCAGUACCUCCA